This 632-nucleotide unclassified non-coding RNA is filed under the name Hevea brasiliensis (rubber tree). The record is from RNAcentral. Lineage: Eukaryota; Viridiplantae; Streptophyta; Magnoliopsida; Malpighiales; Euphorbiaceae.
AUUUCCGUGCAAAUGAGAUUUCAAGGAGUUGUUGGGAACGAACUCACAAACAAACAAUCUGUCCGCUUCAUCAUUACAGUACCCUAACAGCUUGACAAGAUUCCGGUGACGGAUGCGAAUAAGAGUUUGAAUCUCAACCUCAAAUUGAAGUUGUGCAGCUUUCAUUUCCACCUGUGACUGUCCAGCCUCAUAUUUAAGCUUCUUGAUUGCAACCACUUCACCAUUGGGAAAUUCUCCCUUAAAAACUUGACCGCAGCCACCCACACCAAGCUGGUUCUUGUUAGAGAAACUACCAGUUGCCUUCGCUAGUUCUUCGAAAGUAUAGAGCUUGGGAACACCUUCAAGCUUCUGAAAGCCAUUAAGUGGAGUUUUUUUAUUGGAAAUAAGCUCAGUAGCGUACGCGAGAGGGAUAAGCAGAGGUUGGUCAGAUUUCUUGGGGCCAGGACCACCAUCAGAGUUGAGGGAAUCAAAGUCGCAAGACGCAAGGAUUGUCUGGCGGUCGACAUCAGCCUCCUCUCUGCUACGGCCUUCAGUUUUCCUGGGAUGGGAAAGAGAGGAAGAAGAACCUCCGUUAAUUACAGAUUUCAGCUUGGGUAGCGGUGCCCGAGGUGAGGCGUCGACGUCGACAGCUC